Molecule: ribosomal RNA, 460 nt
Filed under: uncultured bacterium
Lineage: Bacteria
Description: partial 16S ribosomal RNA
Rfam family: Bacterial small subunit ribosomal RNA
Source: RNAcentral
CCUACGGGAGGCAGCAGUGAGGAAUAUUGGUCAAUGGACGAGAGUCUGAACCAGCCAAGUAGCGUGAAGGAUGACUGCCCUAUGGGUUGUAAACUUCUUUUAUAUGGGAAUAAAAUGUUCCACGUGUGGGAUUUUGUAUGUACCAUAUGAAUAAGGAUCGGCUAACUCCGUGCCAGCAGCCGCGGUAAUACGGAGGAUCCGAGCGUUAUCCGGAUUUAUUGGGUUUAAAGGGAGCGUAGGUGGAUUGUUAAGUCAGGUGUGAAAGUUUGCGUCUCAACCGUAAAAUUGCAGUUGAAACUGGCAGUCUUGAGUACAGUAGAGGUGGGCGGAAUUCGUGGUGUAGCGGUGAAAUGCUUAGAUAUCACGAAGAACUCCGAUUGCGAAGGCAGUUCACUGGACUGCAACUGACACUGAGGCUCGAAAGUGUGGGUAUCAAACAGGAUUAGAUACCCGUGUAGUC